RNAcentral lists this ribosomal RNA (741 nucleotides) under Rothia mucilaginosa. RNAcentral describes it as "bacterial SSU rRNA". It matches the Rfam family "Bacterial small subunit ribosomal RNA", at positions 28 to 776 of the family's 1533-position model. The record is from RNAcentral. Lineage: Bacteria; Bacillati; Actinomycetota; Actinomycetes; Micrococcales; Micrococcaceae.
GACGAACGCUGGCGGCGUGCUUAACACAUGCAAGUCGAACGCUGAAGCCUAGCUUGCUGGGUGGAUGAGUGGCGAACGGGUGAGUAAUACGUGAGUAACCUACCUUUAACUCUGGGAUAAGCCCGGGAAACUGGGUCUAAUACUGGAUACGACCAAUCUCCGCAUGGGGUGUUGGUGGAAAGCGUUAUGUAGUGGUUAUAGAUGGGCUCACGGCCUAUCAGCUUGUUGGUGAGGUAACGGCUCACCAAGGCGACGACGGGUAGCCGGCCUGAGAGGGUGACCGGCCACACUGGGACUGAGACACGGCCCAGACUCCUACGGGAGGCAGCAGUGGGGAAUAUUGCACAAUGGGCGCAAGCCUGAUGCAGCGACGCCGCGUGAGGGAUGACGGCCUUCGGGUUGUAAACCUCUGUUAGCAGGGAAGAAGAGAGAUUGACGGUACCUGCAGAGAAAGCGCCGGCUAACUACGUGCCAGCAGCCGCGGUAAUACGUAGGGCGCGAGCGUUGUCCGGAAUUAUUGGGCGUAAAGAGCUUGUAGGCGGUUUGUCGCGUCUGCUGUGAAAGGCCGGGGCUUAACUCCGUGUAUUGCAGUGGGUACGGGCAGACUAGAGUGCAGUAGGGGAGACUGGAAUUCCUGGUGUAGCGGUGGAAUGCGCAGAUAUCAGGAGGAACACCGAUGGCGAAGGCAGGUCUCCGGGCUGUAACUGACGCUGAGAAGCGAAAGCAUGGGGAGCGAACAGG